This 254-nucleotide ribosomal RNA is filed under the name uncultured bacterium. RNAcentral describes it as "partial 16S ribosomal RNA". It matches the Rfam family "Bacterial small subunit ribosomal RNA", at positions 524 to 776 of the family's 1533-position model. The record is from RNAcentral.
UACGGGGGGAGCAAGCGUUGUUCGGAUUUACUGGGCGUAAAGGGCGCGUAGGCGGCCAGCACAAGUCAGUUGUGAAAUCUCCGAGCUUAACUCGGAAAGGUCAACUGAUACUGUGCGGCUAGAGUGCAGAAGGGGCAACUGGAAUUCUUGGUGUAGCGGUGAAAUGCGUAGAUAUCGUAAGGAAGACCAGUGGCGAAGGCGGGUCUCUGGACAGUUCCUGACGCUGAGGCACGAAGGCCAGGGGAGCAAACGGG